RNAcentral lists this ribosomal RNA (450 nucleotides) under uncultured bacterium. Its description in RNAcentral is "bacterial SSU rRNA". It matches the Rfam family "Bacterial small subunit ribosomal RNA", at positions 354 to 796 of the family's 1533-position model. The record is from RNAcentral.
GUGGGGAAUUUUGGACAAUGGGGGCAACCCUGAUCCAGCCAUGCCGCGUGUGUGAAGAAGGCCUUCGGGUUGUAAAGCACUUUCGGACGGAACGAAAUCGCGCGUGUUAAUAACCCGCGUGGAUGACGGUACCGUAAGAAGAAGCACCGGCUAACUACGUGCCAGCAGCCGCGGUAAUACGUAGGGUGCGAGCGUUAAUCGGAAUUACUGGGCGUAAAGUGUGCGCAGGCGGCUGAGCAAGUCGAGUGUGAAAGCCCCGGGCUUAACUUGGGAAUUGCGCUCGAAACUACUUGGCUGGAGUGUGGCAGAGGAAGGUGGAAUUCCACGUGUAGCGGUGAAAUGCGUAGAGAUGUGGAGGAACACCAAUGGCGAAGGCAGCCUUCUGGGCCAACACUGACGCUCAUGCACGAAAGCGUGGGGAGCAAACAGGAUUAGAAACCCGGGUAGUCC